This 475-nucleotide ribosomal RNA is filed under the name uncultured bacterium. RNAcentral describes it as "SSU rRNA". It matches the Rfam family "Bacterial small subunit ribosomal RNA", at positions 26 to 518 of the family's 1533-position model. The record is from RNAcentral.
AGAAUCAACGCUGGCGGCGUGCCUAACACAUGCAAGUCGAACGAGAAAGUGGAGCAAUCCAUGAGUAAAGUGGCGACCGGGUGAGUAACACGUGACUAACCUACCCUAGAGUGGGGGAUAACCUCGGGAAACCGGGGCUAAUACCGCAUAACAUCGCAAGGGGAAGAUCCUUGCGAUCAAAGGAGCAAUUCGCUCAAGGAGGGGGUCGCGGCUGAUUAGCUAGUUGGUGAGGUAACGGCCCACCAAGGCUUAGAUCAGUAGCCGGCCUGAGAGGGCGCACGGCCACACUGGAACUGAAACACGGUCCAGACUCCUACGGGAGGCAGCAGUGGGGAAUUUUGCGCAAUGGGGGAAACCCUGACGCAGCAACGCCGCGUGGAGGAUGAAGUCCCUUGGGAUGUAAACUCCUUUCGAUCGGGACGAUUAUGACGGUACCGGAAGAAGAAGCACCGGCUAACUCUGCGCCAGCAGCCGC